UGAGGAAUAUUGGUCAAUGGGCGGAAGCCUGAACCAGCCAAGUAGCGUGCAGGAAGACGGCCCUAUGGGUGUAAACUGCUUUNAUACGAGAAUAAUUUGANCACGUGUGCGUUAUUGCAUNUAUNGUAUGAAUAAGGACCGGCUAAUUCCGUNNUGCAGCCGCGGUAAUACGGAAGGUCCAGGCGUUAUCCGGAUUUAUGGGUUAAAGGGAGUGUAGGCGUUUUGUUAAGNGUGUUGUGAAAUUUAGAUNCUCAACAUUUAACUUNCAGCGCGAACUGUCAGACUUGAGUACACGCAACGUAUGCGGAAUUCAUGGUGUAGCGGNGAAAUGCUUAGAUNUCAUGAAGAACUCCGAUUGCGNAGGCAGCNAACGGGAGUGUAACUGACGCUUAAGCUCGAAGGUGCGGGUAUCGAACAGGAUUAGAUACCCUGGUAGUCCGCACAGUAAACGAUGGAUGCCCGCUGUUAGCGCCUGGCGUUAGCGGCU
This 487-nucleotide ribosomal RNA is filed under the name uncultured bacterium. RNAcentral's name for it is "partial 16S ribosomal RNA". It matches the Rfam family "Bacterial small subunit ribosomal RNA", at positions 355 to 848 of the family's 1533-position model. The record is from RNAcentral.